CACACUAAACUAGAAACAGAAACCCCAUUUUUAUUAAUCGCUGUUGAAUUUGUAUGGCUCUCUUCCUUGUGCCAGUCAGAGCUAGCUGCUGGCUGAUGCAACACAUGAAGGUCAUCUUUAUAAAGCACAGUGCGACUGGCCGUUCACUCUGAACAUUCACACCCAAGCAUCAUUCGGGAAUUCUUCCAAAAACACCUUCUGGAGAAUUAACAGCGGCAGAAUCUCAUGACAAAAAGGAACAGGAGACAAAGGUAAAGAGCCGGAGUGCCCAUGUUACCAGAGUAUCGGUCGUCCUUGGUCUAAGACCACCCACCAAGGCCAGAGGAUGAGUGUGAGCUUGGUCCCACCGUGGACAUUGGUUCAGUUCUAGGGAUCCGAACCUGGAACCAAGCCAAAGGGAGCAACCUUUCCUGGUUUGACUGGGUAUCGCCCACUCACAGACAAGAGGACUCUAUAUGCAAAGUGAGAGCAAGAUGAGUAAGGAGGACAGCCCGAAGUCCCUCUGGGGCAAACGCAACACAAAUGGAGAAAGAGGAUCAGCUGCAAGUGAUGGAUGCAGUAAGUUUUCUGCUUGGUGUGACUCCUGUGCCAGAAGAAACCAUUGAACCCCAAGAUCAGGUUUUAACCUUAACUUGGAGAGAAUACAGCAAGGUGGGCCAAACCAGCAUGGCACAGCCCUUUGCUGAUCAAGCUGCAGGCCCACAGGCCCAGGAGAGUGUGUGUUCCUCAUGGCUGGGUAACGACAGCCUUUCAGUCAGAGACAGAUAGGAAAACAAGAAGGAUUAAAAACUGGCUCUUCUCUCUAAGAUACUCCAGACAUGGGGUGCUGUGGAGAUGGCGGUUGGAGGGUGUUGGUGUUCUGUCUAAACUCCACUCCCACAGUUACCUGGCAACAGCCAGGUAUGCUCCGCCCCACAGUUGCCUGGCAACAGCCAGGUUUGCCUGACACUGAUAUAAGGGGCUGCUUGGCCCUUCCUCCCUCUCUUGCUCUUUGCUCUCUUCUCUCCCCAUUCUCCUCCCCCUUCCCUCCACCUGCUCAUGGCUGGCCUUUAUUCUUUUCCUCUUGUACUCUUCUUCUCUCAUUAAACCUUUCCAUGUGGAA
Rattus norvegicus (Norway rat) is the source of this 1102-nucleotide non-coding RNA. NCBI's taxonomy places the organism in Eukaryota, Metazoa, Chordata, Mammalia, Rodentia, Muridae. The record is from RefSeq and is a predicted model, not a curated record.